UUUAUGCGGUAGUACCAGCCUCCAACCACCCGCAGCGCUCUCGAGCCCGGACUACAACAUGAGCCCUCUGGGAUGGAACGCAAGCAGCCUGGGUUGCUAUGGCUACCUAGGCAGAGCCACUGCCCGGAAGUGCAUCACGAGUGCGGCCGGCGACGGGAGAAGCGACGGAAGAGACGGAGGAGGAUGCCGCUAAUCCAGGGGUACUUAUACUGAUCUUGUAAGGAUUUAUGCGGUAGUACCAGCCUCCAACCACCCGCAGCGCUCUCGAGCCCGGACUACAACAUGAGCCCUCUGGGAUGGAACGCAAGCAGCCUGGGUUGCUAUGGCUACCUAGGCAGAGCCACUGCCCGGAAGUGCAUCACGAGUGCGGCCGGCGACGGGAGAAGCGACGGAAGAGACGGAGGAGGAUGCCGCUAAUCCAGGGGUACUUAUACUGGUUCCUCAGGGGUCCUUCUCGGUUCUAUUUCUGGAGACGGCUGGUAUAGACAUCAAGAGAACGCACCUCUUAAAAGCAGGAUCUUUUGAAAAGAAUCCGCUCCAGCUAGGCUGGCAUGGAAACUCAGAUGGUUCAUGAGGGCUGCAAUGGAACUUCUGAGAAAUCUCUUUAGCUGCUGCCUUAAGAGCCCUUAUAAAGCCAGAAUAAUAAAGU
Long non-coding RNA from Pseudophryne corroboree (corroboree frog), 649 nucleotides. RefSeq lists it as uncharacterized. NCBI's taxonomy places the organism in Eukaryota, Metazoa, Chordata, Amphibia, Anura, Myobatrachidae. The record is from RefSeq and is a predicted model, not a curated record. The transcript is spliced from 3 exons.